Molecule: ribosomal RNA, 796 nt
Filed under: uncultured archaeon
Lineage: Archaea
Description: bacterial SSU rRNA
Rfam family: Archaeal small subunit ribosomal RNA
Source: RNAcentral
ACGGCUCAGUAACACGUGGAUAACCUGCCCUUGGGUCCGGCAUAACCCCGGGAAACUGGGGAUAAUUCCGGAUAACGCACAUAUGCUGGAAUGCUUUAUGCGUCAAAUGGAUUCGUCUGCCCAAGGAUGGGUCUGCGGCCUAUCAGGUAGUAGUGGGUGUAAUGUACCUACUAGCCGACGACGGGUACGGGUUGUGAGAGCAAGAGCCCGGAGAUGGAUUCUGAGACAUGAAUCCAGGCCCUACGGGGCGCAGCAGGCGCGAAAACUUUACAAUGCGGGAAACCGUGAUAAGGGGACACCGAGUGCCAGCAUCAUAUGCUGGCUGUCCAGGUGUGUAAAAUACACCUGUUAGCAAGGGCCGGGCAAGACCGGUGCCAGCCGCCGCGGUAACACCGGCGGCCCGAGUGGUGAUCGUGAUUAUUGGGUCUAAAGGGUCCGUAGCCGGUUUGGUCAGUCCUCCGGGAAAUCUGAUAGCUCAACUAUUAGGCUUUCGGGGGAUACUGCCAGACUUGGAACCGGGAGAGGUAAGAGGUACUACAGGGGUAGGAGUGAAAUCUUGUAAUCCCUGUGGGACCACCUGUGGCGAAGGCGUCUUACCAGAACGGGUUCGACGGUGAGGGACGAAAGCUGGGGGCACGAACCGGAUUAGAUACCCGGGUAGUCCCAGCCGUAAACGGUGCUCGCUAGGUGUCAGACAUGGCGCGACCGUGUCUGGUGCCGCAGGGAAGCCGUGAAGCGAGCCACCUGGGAAGUACGGCCGCAAGGCUGAAACUUAAAGGAAUUGGCGGGGGAGCAC